Molecule: ribosomal RNA, 254 nt
Filed under: uncultured bacterium
Lineage: Bacteria
Description: partial 16S ribosomal RNA
Rfam family: Bacterial small subunit ribosomal RNA
Source: RNAcentral
UACGUAGGGUGCGAGCGUUAAUCGGAAUUACUGGGCGUAAAGCGUGCGCAGGCGGUUGUGCAAGACAGAUGUGAAAUCCCCGGGCUUAACCUGGGAAUGGCAUUGGUGACUGCACGGCUAGAGUGUGUCAGAGGGGGGUAGAAUUCCACGUGUAGCAGUGAAAUGCGCAGAGAUGUGGAGGAAUACCGAUGGCGAAGGCAGCCCCCUGGGAUAACACUGACGCUCAUGCACGAAAGCGUGGGGGAGCAAACAGG